This 67-nucleotide transfer RNA is filed under the name Mus terricolor (Earth-colored mouse). RNAcentral's name for it is "tRNA-Pro". Lineage: Eukaryota; Metazoa; Chordata; Mammalia; Rodentia; Muridae. The record is from RNAcentral.
CAAGAAGUUGUCUACCUUGGAGGAUCAGCUUUGGGUGCUGAUGGUGGGGAAUAGGUCCUUCUUCUUG